UAUCCACAGAAAAAGCACUGGCUAACUCUGUGCCAGCAGCCGCGGUAAUACAGAGAGUGCGAGCGUUAAUCGGAAUUACUGGGCGUAAAGCGCACGUAGGUGGGUGCUUAAGUCAGAUGUGAAAUCCCCGGGCUUAACCUGGGAAUUGCAUUUGAUACUGGGCGUCUAGAAUAUAGUAGAGGGAAGUGGAAUUUCCGGUGUAACGGUGAAAUGCGUAGAUAUCGGAAGGAACAUCAGUGGCGAAAGCGGCUUCCUGGACUAAUAUUGACACUUAGGUGCGAAAGCGUGGGGAGCAAACAGGAUUAGAUACCCUGGUAGUCCACGCUGUCAACGAUGAGAACUAGAUGUUGGGGAGUUUACUCCUUAGUAUCGAAGCUAACGCGUUAAGUUCUCCGCCUGGGGAGUACGGCCGCAAGGUAAACUCAAGGAUUGACGGGGGCCCGCACAAGCGGUGGAGCAUGCGGUUUAAUUCGAUGCAACGCGAAGACUUACUGCUCUUGACAUACUUGGAUCUCUUGAACAGAGAGUGCUUCGGACGAGAUACAGUGCUGCAUGCUGUCGUCAGCUCGUGUCGUGAGAUGUGGUAGUCCGUACGAGCGCACCUC
This 605-nucleotide ribosomal RNA is filed under the name uncultured Gammaproteobacteria bacterium. RNAcentral's name for it is "bacterial SSU rRNA". It matches the Rfam family "Bacterial small subunit ribosomal RNA", at positions 476 to 1104 of the family's 1533-position model. The record is from RNAcentral. Lineage: Bacteria; Pseudomonadati; Pseudomonadota; Gammaproteobacteria.